Canis lupus familiaris (dog) is the source of this 224-nucleotide long non-coding RNA. RefSeq lists it as uncharacterized. Lineage: Eukaryota; Metazoa; Chordata; Mammalia; Carnivora; Canidae. The transcript has 3 exons. The record is from RefSeq and is a predicted model, not a curated record.
AAAAGGCCAGCCUAGAGUCAAAGGGUAGGGAAACAGAUCCCAUCUUCUGACAGGAGGAAAAGAUAGGAUAUAUAAGAAGAAGAGAUUUGAGUCCCUGAAUCUACAGUAUCAGAUGUACAAUUUUGAAAUUAAAGCAGGCAGAAUUGUUGCCACUCUGGGAACUCAUGAGCACAAGUCCAUCUGUGAUCAACUCAACUCAGUUCCAAGUUCUACUGGAUUUGGGG